RNAcentral lists this small nuclear RNA (104 nucleotides) under Moschus moschiferus (Siberian musk deer). Lineage: Eukaryota; Metazoa; Chordata; Mammalia; Artiodactyla; Moschidae. The record is from RNAcentral.
GUGCUCACUUUGUCAGCACAUACACUAAAUUUGGAAGGAUACAAAGAUUAGCAUGGCCCCUGCACAAGGAUGACAUGCAAAUUUGAGAAGCAUUCCUUAUUUUU